UUUAUUAACGAGUCUGACCUACAAAGUACCUUUUUCCUCCUCGCAAGAUUUAUAACGACCAGUAUACGUAUAUGUAUAUUACUCUCUUUUAGAUGAUGGCGGAGCUGAUGUCGCAGUAUGCAAAAUUUGCCUGGAUCGAUAAGAUAAAGCGUUGGAAAUAAGGAAGACCUUUUGUAGAGUUAUAUCCUGGUGAGAAUAAGACAUAAAUAAGACUACAGUAAGAAGAUUGCAUACAAAUGCAACGGACCAGGAAAUUUCGGCGCCAAUAAAAAUAUGGCUAGCUCAUGCAAGAGAGCGAAUGCAAAAGCGAUCAGCUCAGAUGAGCAGAUAGGAUCAAACUGAAAGUAAACAGACUUAAUUUAUUUCUAUCAUAUAACGAUGUAUAUGUAUGCACGCACUAGCGGAUCCUGACAUCGAUAAUGGGGGGGUUUUGACGAAAAUGCUUGAUUUUAUAUCAUACUUUCACGGUUAAAUCUUUUUUUUCACUCUUAGCAUCUUCUUAAACUCAGUUACAAUAGAAAUGGGUGCCAUGUUUUUUUAACAAGUACAUCAAAUAUUUUUAUUUAGAUUAAUUUAGCGUCUAGCAUUUAAUGCUUUAUAUGACUGUUAAAGAUUUAAAACCGGUGCACAUGCAAUGUAAAGCAUCAUGCUUCUUUGGGAACUUGAAUGCGUCGCAUAAACGAAAUAUGGUUGCACGUAGUAGAAUUCUGGAAAAUUAACGUGUAAUUGCGGCCACGCUUAACAAUGCAAAUUUUGUGUCGUUUUGUAUUAUUACUAAUAUGAAGAAGUUCAAA
Nylanderia fulva is the source of this 794-nucleotide long non-coding RNA. RefSeq lists it as uncharacterized. NCBI's taxonomy places the organism in Eukaryota, Metazoa, Arthropoda, Insecta, Hymenoptera, Formicidae. The record is from RefSeq and is a predicted model, not a curated record.